Molecule: ribosomal RNA, 508 nt
Filed under: uncultured bacterium
Lineage: Bacteria
Description: partial 16S ribosomal RNA
Rfam family: Bacterial small subunit ribosomal RNA
Source: RNAcentral
UGGGGAAUUUUGGACAAUGGGCGAAAGCCUGAUCCAGCAAUGCCGCGUGUGUGAAGAAGGCCUUCGGGUUGUAAAGCACUUUUGUCCGGAAAGAAAUCCUUGGCUCUAAUACAGUCGGGGGAUGACGGUACCGGAAGAAUAAGCACCGGCUAACUACGUGCCAGCAGCCGCGGUAAUACGUAGGGUGCAAGCGUUAAUCGGAAUUACUGGGCGUAAAGCGUGCGCAGGCGGUUUGCUAAGACCGAUGUGAAAUCCCCGGGCUCAACCUGGGAACUGCAUUGGUGACUGGCAGGCUAGAGUAUGGCAGAGGGGGGUAGAAUUCCACGUGUAGCAGUGAAAUGCGUAGAGAUGUGGAGGAAUACCGAUGGCGAAGGCAGCCCCCUGGGCCAAGUACUGACGCUCGUGCACGAAAGCGUGGGGAGCAAACAGGAUUAGAUACCCUGGUAGUCCACGCCCUAAACGAUGUCAACUAGUUGUUGGGGAUUCAUUUCCUUAGUAACGUAGCUAA